AGAGUUUGAUCCUGGCUCAGAACGAACGCUGGCGGCAGGCCUAACACAUGCAAGUCGAACGCUCCGCAAGGGGAGUGGCAGACGGGUGAGUAACACGUGGGAAUCUUCCUAUUGGUAUGGAAUAGCUCAGGGAAACUUGGGGUAAUACCGUAUAAGCCCGAGAGGGGAAAGAUUUAUCGCCAAUAGAUGAGCCCGCGUCUGAUUAGCUAGUUGGUGAGGUAAUGGCUCACCAAGGCGACGAUCAGUAGCUGGUCUGAGAGGAUGAUCAGCCACACUGGGACUGAGACACGGCCCAGACUCCUACGGGAGGCAGCAGUGGGGAAUAUUGGACAAUGGGCGCAAGCCUGAUCCAGCCAUGCCGCGUGAGUGACGAAGGUCUUCGGAUUGUAAAGCUCUUUUGGCGGGGACGAUAAUGACGGUACCCGCAGAAUAAGCCCCGGCUAACUUCGUGCCAGCAGCCGCGGUAAUACGAAGGGGGCUAGCGUUGUUCGGAAUCACUGGGCGUAAAGCGCACGUAGGCGGAUUUGUUAGUCAGGGGUGAAAUCCCGGGGCUCAACCUCGGAACUGCCUCUGAUACUGCAGAUCUCGAGUCCGAUAGAGGUGAGUGGAAUUCCUAGUGUAGAGGUGAAAUUCGUAGAUAUUAGGAAGAACACCAGCGGCGAAGGCGGGUCUCUGGGCAGUAACUGACGCUGAGGAGCGAAAGCGUGGGGAGCGAACAGGAUUAGAUACCCUGGUAGUCC
Molecule: ribosomal RNA, 740 nt
Filed under: uncultured bacterium
Lineage: Bacteria
Description: bacterial SSU rRNA
Rfam family: Bacterial small subunit ribosomal RNA
Source: RNAcentral